This 786-nucleotide ribosomal RNA is filed under the name Streptomyces tendae. RNAcentral's name for it is "bacterial SSU rRNA". It matches the Rfam family "Bacterial small subunit ribosomal RNA", at positions 66 to 865 of the family's 1533-position model. The record is from RNAcentral. Lineage: Bacteria; Bacillati; Actinomycetota; Actinomycetes; Kitasatosporales; Streptomycetaceae.
ACGAUGAACCACUUCGGUGGGGAUUAGUGGCGAACGGGUGAGUAACACGUGGGCAAUCUGCCCUGCACUCUGGGACAAGCCCUGGAAACGGGGUCUAAUACCGGAUACUGACCCUCGCAGGCAUCUGCGAGGUUCGAAAGCUCCGGCGGUGCAGGAUGAGCCCGCGGCCUAUCAGCUUGUUGGUGAGGUAAUGGCUCACCAAGGCGACGACGGGUAGCCGGCCUGAGAGGGCGACCGGCCACACUGGGACUGAGACACGGCCCAGACUCCUACGGGAGGCAGCAGUGGGGAAUAUUGCACAAUGGGCGAAAGCCUGAUGCAGCGACGCCGCGUGAGGGAUGACGGCCUUCGGGUUGUAAACCUCUUUCAGCAGGGAAGAAGCGAAAGUGACGGUACCUGCAGAAGAAGCGCCGGCUAACUACGUGCCAGCAGCCGCGGUAAUACGUAGGGCGCAAGCGUUGUCCGGAAUUAUUGGGCGUAAAGAGCUCGUAGGCGGCUUGUCACGUCGGUUGUGAAAGCCCGGGGCUUAACCCCGGGUCUGCAGUCGAUACGGGCAGGCUAGAGUUCGGUAGGGGAGAUCGGAAUUCCUGGUGUAGCGGUGAAAUGCGCAGAUAUCAGGAGGAACACCGGUGGCGAAGGCGGAUCUCUGGGCCGAUACUGACGCUGAGGAGCGAAAGCGUGGGGAGCGAACAGGAUUAGAUACCCUGGUAGUCCACGCCGUAAACGGUGGGCACUAGGUGUGGGGCAACAUUCCACGUUGUCCGUGCCGCAGCUAACGCAUUAAGU